CCCCUAGAUGUUCUGGCCGCACGCGCGCUACACUGAACAGUUCAACAAGUCUUAACCUUGGCCGAUAGGUCUGGGUAAUCUUUGAACGCUGUUCGUGAUUGGGAUAGACCUUUGCAAUUAUGGGUCUUCAACGAGGAAUUCCUAGUAAACGCAAGUCAUCAGCUUGCAUUGAUUACGUCCCUGCCCUUUGUACACACCGCCCGUCGCACCUACCGAUUGAAUGGUCCGGUGAAAUCUCGGGACGGCGGCUUGGUCGCUUGCGUCCGACUGCUGAAACUUGAUUAAACCAUAUCAUUUAGAGGAAGGUGAAGUCGUANCA
This 319-nucleotide ribosomal RNA is filed under the name uncultured eukaryote. RNAcentral's name for it is "partial 18S ribosomal RNA". It matches the Rfam family "Eukaryotic small subunit ribosomal RNA", at positions 1470 to 1796 of the family's 1831-position model. The record is from RNAcentral.